This 511-nucleotide ribosomal RNA is filed under the name uncultured bacterium. RNAcentral's name for it is "bacterial SSU rRNA". It matches the Rfam family "Bacterial small subunit ribosomal RNA", at positions 28 to 526 of the family's 1533-position model. The record is from RNAcentral.
GACGAACGCUGGCGGCGUGCUUAACACAUGCAAGUCGAGCGGUAAGGCCCCUUCGGGGGUACACGAGCGGCGAACGGGUGAGUAACACGUGGGUAACCUGCCCUAAAGUGGGGGAUAACAUUUGGAAACAGAUGCUAAUACCGCAUAAAUCUUGGAACCUCAUGGUUCCAAGCUGAAAGAUGGCGUAAGCUAUCGCUUUUGGAUGGACCCGCGGCGUAUUAGCUAGUUGGUGAGGUAAAGGCUCACCAAGGCGAUGAUACGUAGCCGACCUGAGAGGGUGAUCGGCCACAUUGGGACUGAGACACGGCCCAAACUCCUACGGGAGGCAGCAGUAGGGAAUCUUCCACAAUGGACGAAAGUCUGAUGGAGCAACGCCGCGUGAGUGAAGAAGGUUUUCGGAUCGUAAAACUCUGUUGUUGGAGAAGAACGUACGUGAGAGUAACUGUUCACGUAGUGACGGUAUCCAACCAGAAAGCCACGGCUAACUACGUGCCAGCAGCCGCAGUAAGAC